UCUUGCUUGCAUUUUCUGGACCCUGUUGUUUGUUGUUCUUCAGAGGCAGCGGAAAUCGAGAGAGAUGUUGGAUAUCAAUCUCUUCAGAGAAGAGAAGGGUAACAAUCCUGAAAUCAUCCGCGAAUCUCAGCGCCGCCGAUUUGCUAACGUUGAACUCGUUGAUGAAGUCAUUAAGCUUGAUAAGGAAUGGCGUCAACGCCAAUUUGAGCUCGAGAAUCUCAGGAAGGAGUUCAACAAGAUCAACAAGCAAAUUGCUCAGCUCAGAAUAGCUGGUGAGGAUGCAUCGGAGAAGAUUAAAGAUACUGAAGAAAAUAAAAAGUUGUCUGCAGAGAAAGAUGUUGAAGCUAAAGAUGUGCUGAAACAGUUGAACUCAAAAUUGGAAAUAAUCGGAAACCUUGUGCACGAUUCAGUUCCAGUCAGCAAUGAUGAGGCUAACAAUGCUAUAAUCAGAUCGUGGGGUGAGAAACUGGUAAAACCCAAACUGAAGAAUCAUGUUGAUCUUGUUGAGCUUCUUGGAAUUGCAGAUACCAAAAAAGGUUCUGAAAUAGCAGGAGGCAGAGGCUUCUACCUAAAAGGAGACGGUGUACGUUUGAACCAAGCUUUGAUAAACUAUGGCCUUGACUUUUUGGAGAAAAGGGGUUAUACAGCUCUGCAGACUCCUUUCUUCAUGAGAAAAGAUAUUAUGGCUAGAUGUGCUCAACUAGCACAAUUUGAUGAAGAACUCUACAAGGUUACUGGUGAGGGGGAUGAUAAAUAUCUAAUUGCCACUGCUGAACAACCACUUUGUGCAUAUCAUCUUGAAGAUUGGAUUCAUCCUUCCCAAUUGCCUAUAAGAUAUGCUGGAUAUUCGUCUUGCUUUCGCAAAGAAGCGGGUUCCCAUGGCCGGGAUACUUUGGGAAUUUUUCGAGUCCACCAGUUUGAGAAAGUAGAGCAAUUUUGUAUGACCAGCCCGAAUGGCAAUGAUUCAUGGGACAUGCAUGAGGAGAUGAUUAAAAACUCCGAGGACUUCUAUAAGACGUUAAAUCUCCCUUACCAAGUUGUGGCCAUAGUUUCUGGUGCAUUAAAUGAUGCAGCUGCCAAGAAAUAUGAUUUGGAAGCAUGGUUUCCUGCAUCUCAGACUUACAGGGAGCUAGUAUCCUGUUCAAAUUGCACUGACUAUCAAUCCAGAAGGUUAGAGAUCCGAUAUGGUCAGAAAAAGAGCAAUGAGCAAACGAAGCAAUAUGUGCAUUUGCUAAAUUCUACUCUCACAGCAACAGAAAGGACUCUGUGCUGCAUUCUUGAGAACUACCAGAAAGAAGAUGGGGUUGAGAUACCAGAAGUUCUACAACCAUUUAUGGGUGGAAAGACCUUUCUACCCUUCAAAGCGAAGCCAUCGACGAGCGAAGCCAAAGGGAAGAAAUCGAAGGCCUAAUUGCAUUUUUCUUUUCUCCACUUUGAUUUAUAAAUUAUCUGACUCAAGGGAAGGAAAUUGCUCACAAUAUUGUUGGAACUUCAAAUUAUCUUUUUGGGCUCGCAAUCGUUUCCAAUCUUGUGAAGCAAGCCCAAAGCUCACUCCAAUAAUGAAAUUCUUGGACCACUCCCACAUGGUCUGGAAACUCUUAUUUAGAAAAUUCAGAUUAGGUUUGAGAUGACGUAUCGAUAUCGAAUGCAGCUGCUACAAUAUAACUAUCACUUUUAUAAUCGUUGAGUCGUGGUCAUGUUUUGGCAGCUGGGUUCAUAGUCGUUAGAUGUGUGGAAAGUAUGAUAUUGCUAUCGCUUUUUCAAUAGUUAGAUCUGUGGAAAAGAGAAUUCAAAACUGUGGUCACGUUUUGGCAGCCAGUUUUGGCAACGUUGUCGUUUUGAUGAGAAAUUGAAGUCAGAUUGAAAAAAAGAGAUUAAUUGCUGCAAAA
Momordica charantia (bitter melon) is the source of this 1889-nucleotide RNA transcript. It is a transcript of the gene named seryl-tRNA synthetase / serine-tRNA ligase, with no coding region annotated. Lineage: Eukaryota; Viridiplantae; Streptophyta; Magnoliopsida; Cucurbitales; Cucurbitaceae. The record is from RefSeq and is a predicted model, not a curated record.